UACGGAGGGUGCAAGCGUUGCUCGGAAUUAUUGGGCGUAAAGGGCGCGUAGGCGGCUCAUGAAGGCUGUGGUGAAAGUCCGGGGCUCAACCUCGGAUCGGCCGUGGCGACUCGUGGGCUGGAGCACUGUAGAGGCGGGUGGAAUUCCGGGUGUAGCGGUGGAAUGCGUAGAGAUCCGGAAGAACACCAGUGGCGAAGGCGGCCCGCUGGGCAGUGGCUGACGCUGAGGCGCGACAGCGUGGGGAGCAAACAGG
Molecule: ribosomal RNA, 253 nt
Filed under: uncultured bacterium
Lineage: Bacteria
Description: partial 16S ribosomal RNA
Rfam family: Bacterial small subunit ribosomal RNA
Source: RNAcentral